This 253-nucleotide ribosomal RNA is filed under the name uncultured bacterium. RNAcentral describes it as "partial 16S ribosomal RNA". It matches the Rfam family "Bacterial small subunit ribosomal RNA", at positions 524 to 776 of the family's 1533-position model. The record is from RNAcentral.
UACGGGGGGAGCAAACGUUGUUCGGAAUUACUGGGCGUAAAGGGCGCGUAGGCGGCCUGUUAAGUCGAACGUGAAAUCCCCGGGCUCAACCCGGGAACUGCAUUCGAUACUGCCAAGCUAGAGUCCCGGAGAGGAUGGUGGAACUCUCGGUGUAGAGGUGAAAUUCGUAGAUAUCGAGAAGAACACCGGUGGCGAAGGCGGCCAUCUGGACGGUGACUGACGCUGAGACGCGAAAGCGUGGGGAGCAAACAGG